AUUGAACGCUGGCGGAAUGCUUUAUACAUGCAAGUCGAACGGCAGCACGGACUUCGGUCUGGUGGCGAGUGGCGAACGGGUGAGUAAUGUAUCGGAACGUGCCCAGUCGUGGGGGAUAACGUAGUGAAAAUUACGCUAAUACCGCAUACGAUCUAUGGAUGAAAGCGGGGGAUCGCAAGACUUCGCGCGAUUGGAGCGGCCGAUAUCAGAUUAGGUAGUUGGUGGGGUAAAGGCCCACCAAGCCAACGAUCUGUAGCUGGUCUGAGAGGACGACCAGCCACACUGGAACUGAGACACGGUCCAGACUCCUACGGGAGGCAGCAGUGGGGAAUUUUGGACAAUGGGCGAAAGCCUGAUCCAGCCAUUCCGCGUGCAGGAUGAAGGCCCUCGGGUUGUAAACUGCUUUUGUACAGAACGAAAAGGUUUCUACUAAUACUAGGAGCUCAUGACGGUACUGUAAGAAUAAGCACCGGCUAACUACGUGCCAGCCGCCGCGGUAA
RNAcentral lists this ribosomal RNA (500 nucleotides) under uncultured bacterium. Its description in RNAcentral is "partial 16S ribosomal RNA". It matches the Rfam family "Bacterial small subunit ribosomal RNA", at positions 30 to 523 of the family's 1533-position model. The record is from RNAcentral.